This 429-nucleotide long non-coding RNA is filed under the name Citrus sinensis (sweet orange). RNAcentral's name for it is "long non-coding RNA (CSIN_LNC002515)". The record is from RNAcentral. Lineage: Eukaryota; Viridiplantae; Streptophyta; Magnoliopsida; Sapindales; Rutaceae.
AUCCCACAACAAAAUACAAAUAACUCAAACCAUAUUAUGCAGUCAUCUAAAUACUAAAUUACAAAUCCCUAAUAAUACAAAUAACAAUAAUUCAAAUUCAAAUUAUAAAGUAAGGUAAUAUCUUUAAUUCUCUUCAUUUGUCUUUUCCACCUUGAAAACAAAAAUUCUACACCAAAAAGUAAAUAAAAUAUUAUUAACAAUUUAACAUAUUGCAAUAUUGAUAAUAAUCAUUGUAAAAUUUUAAAAUAUCAAAUAUAUAGUAAAUUUGUAAUAUUUUUAAGGAAAUAAUAAUUAAACAAGAUAAAACUUUACUUAUAACACUCACACAAAUCCAAGGAUUUGGAGCAGUGGCAAAACGUAGUACUUAAUGGAUGCAAAAAUUAAAAAAAAAAAAAAAGAUUUGGAGAUGGAAAUUAAGGGAAAGAGAUG